RNAcentral lists this unclassified non-coding RNA (304 nucleotides) under fungal sp. Its description in RNAcentral is "partial internal transcribed spacer region". The stretch from base 1 to 46 matches the Rfam family "Eukaryotic small subunit ribosomal RNA", at positions 1786 to 1831 of the family's 1831-position model. Lineage: Eukaryota; Fungi. The record is from RNAcentral.
AAGUCGUAACAAGGUUUCCGUAGGUGAACCUGCGGAAGGAUCAUUAGUGAAUGAACUUGGUCAAGCUGUUUGCUGGUCCCUAGGGACAUGUGCACGCCUGGCUGUUGUUUCUAACCACCUGUGCACCUUUUGUAGACUUGGAGUUUUUGAAACUUUUUUUUUGUUUCGCAUGGGGAAUUGCAUCAGCUUUCCUUGUUCUCCGGUCUAUGUUUUUACAUACCAUUUCAAAUGUAGAGAAUGUUUAUUGGGCUCUUUCAGGCCCAUAAAAUAUAUACAACUUUCAACAACGGAUCUCUUGGCUCUC